Molecule: ribosomal RNA, 468 nt
Filed under: uncultured bacterium
Lineage: Bacteria
Description: partial 16S ribosomal RNA
Rfam family: Bacterial small subunit ribosomal RNA
Source: RNAcentral
GACGAACGCUGGCGGCGUGCUUAACACAUGCAAGUCGAACGGAAAGGCCCUGCUUUUGUGGGGUGCUCGAGUGGCGAACGGGUGAGUAACACGUGAGUAACCUGCCCUUGACUUUGGGAUAACUUCAGGAAACUGGGGCUAAUACCGGAUAGGAGCUCCUGCACCGCGGGGGGGGUUGGAAAAUUUCGGCUGUUGGGGCUGGACUCGCGGCUUCUCAGCUGGUUGGUGGGGUAGGGGCUUACAAAGGCUUUGACGGGUAGCCGGCCUGAGAGGGUGACCGGCCACAUUGGGACUGAGAUACGGCCCAGACUCCUACGGGAGGCAGCAGUGGGGAAUAUUGCACAAUGGGCGGAAGCCUGAUGCAGCAACGCCGCGUGCGGGAUGACGGCCUUCGGGUUGUAAACCGCUUUCGCCUGUGACGAAGCGUGAGUGACGGUAAUGGGUAAAGAAGCACCGGCUAACUACGUG